UACGUAGGGCGCAAGCGUUGUUCGGAAUUACUGGGCGUAAAGAGUGUGUAGGCGGUUUUCCAAGUUCGGUGUGAAAUCCCCCGGCUUAACUGGGAGGGUGCGCCGGAAACUGGAGUGCUCGAGCGUGGGAGAGGAAAGCGGAAUUCCUGGUGUAGCGGUGAAAUGCGUAGAUAUCAGGAGGAACACCUGCGGUGUAGACGGCUUUCUGGACCAUUGCUGACGCUGAGACACGAAAGCGUGGGUAGCAAACAGG
Molecule: ribosomal RNA, 253 nt
Filed under: uncultured bacterium
Lineage: Bacteria
Description: partial 16S ribosomal RNA
Rfam family: Bacterial small subunit ribosomal RNA
Source: RNAcentral